Molecule: unclassified non-coding RNA, 263 nt
Filed under: plant metagenome
Description: partial contains small subunit ribosomal RNA, internal transcribed spacer 1, and 5.8S ribosomal RNA
Source: RNAcentral
UUUCCGUAGGUGAACCUGCGGAAGGAUCAUUAUUGUAUAACCGAGGUGCGAGGGCUGUCGCUGACCCGAAAGGUCGUGCACGCCCGAGUGCCCGCACACACAUCCAUCUCACCCCUAUGUGCACCACCGCGUGGGUCCCCCUUUGGCUUGUUCGGAGGGGGGCUUACGUUUUCACACAAACUUUGUAUGCAGUGUAGAAUGUAUUUUUUGUUUUUGCGAUCACGCAAUCAAUACAACUUUCAACAACGGAUCUCUUGGCUCUC